GGUCAUGAGUGGAUAAAGUUUAAGAAGCCCUGUUCUAGAGCACUCAUACUCCAGUUUACUAUGAUAUUUUUCAUUUCUAUGGCAGGGAGAGGGGGAUUUAGACAUUAUCUAUUACAUGACCUUAGAGUCAACAUAAGUCGGAAAGGUACACAGCAACAAAGUCAGGGAAGAUAAAAAUCAGCAACAAAACCCUUGCUGGUAUGGUGGUUUAGAAAUAUUAAUUUGUUCAUUCUGAAUCAAGAAAAACUUAAAUCUCUGGUAGGCCUCACAUAUGUGACGAACUAGGCAACCUGCUCUCAAUAAGUGCUGUACUACAAGUCCCAUCGUCCUCCAGAAGACUAUGAUGGGAACUGUAAUUCAAUACAUCAGGAUAUUACUUGGUUUUAGAAGAAUGAUUUACAGCAUGUAGAGAUGUAUGGAUUACAGCUAGACAAUACUGUUCAUGUGAAGCAUGCUAAACAGUUAGAAGCACCGUGCAAAAAUAUUACCAUAAUUUCUGCUUUAUGCUGAAAUCCCCAAUGCUUUAUUGAUUCAGACCUUUGAGCCAUACAUAUUAUUUGGAUUAGGAUAAAUAUGUAUUCAUCUCACUUAUUUAUUUACUUUUGAUUUUUUUCACUGGAAAUCUUAGACCUUGUCUUGAACUUCAACCCCACUGACAUUAACAGAUAAAUUUCUCUAAGAUUCUUAUUUAUAGAAUAAAUUCUUUAUUUAUUUCAGAUAAAGACUACUGCAUCACAAUAGACACUAGACAAAAUUCCCCAAGUUUGUUUUUGCUAAUCUAGCCUUCCAAAGAAAUCUACACUUUUACUGCCAACUACUUUUCCCACGCUUAUCAAGGCAAGCUCCUAUGCAAGAAGCUCCUUUUCCAGUUUACAGAAUCUUUCCUGUCCAUUUAUACAGAGCUAUGUUCUACUCACAACAAGGUGAUUUCCUCUUCUCCAAAUGGACUCAGCAGCCUGGAAGGAUACAGCCUUUUCCUGGGAGGGCUUCCACUCCAGCCUUCAUUUGUUAUUUCCAGAAUUUGGAAAUAGCAAACUACAAUAAUGUAGCUUUCUUUAACAAGCAUUUUGGGGAUCAAGGGGCAGGAAUAACAAGAGCAACGAAGUCCCAAUCUAACAAGUGCCAAUUACUCUUAAAGAGUAUUAUAGAUACAUUUUAACAUAAUUUGCAUUUUCUACCUUUCUCUUCUUAAAGUUUUUUUAUUAAAAAUUUAUAUACAUGAAGUUAAAGCAAACCACAAAUAGAAAAAAAGUAAAAAGGAAAUUCCUAUUUCUGUUUUUCUCUCAUGGGUUCUAAGGUGUUUUUUUUAAGUAACAGAAAGCAAGUAAUUCAAAGAGAUACUUAGAGGAAAUAAAUUACUUUAGACUCAGCAAUUCCAGCAGUAGCAGGAACAAUAAUUUUCAAUGAUGUUCAAAGCUCUGCCAAAAGCAGUAAUGCCUGGAAGAGGAAACCUAUGAAGCCAGUAUAGUGAUUCUGAGCACCUUUCCCCCUUUAGCUCCAAAAAUCUUUACGGUUGGAUGACAGAGGCAACUUCAUUGUCUCAAGCACUACUCUAUUAUUGCUGCUGCUGUAUGCCUUCAAUACGUACUUACGUUGACUCUAAGGUGGGCAAACCCAUUAUGGGGUUUUCUUGCCAGGACUUGUUCAAAAAGGGGUUGACUCUGCCUUCCUCUGAAGCUGAGAGUGUGUGACUUACUCAAGAUAACCCAGUGGGUCUCCAUGGAUAAGCAAGGAUUUGAACUGUGGUCUACAGAACUGUACAAUAUUCAAGUGAUCAAAUAGCUACACCUUAUUGUUCAGACUAAAUAACUAAUAUAAACCAAAAAGCCAGUGGAGAGUGAGGAAGACCUGGGGUGCAUCUACACUGUAGCAUUAAUGCAGUUUUAUACCACUAUAACUGGCAUGACCCAAUAAUAUGGAAUCAUUGGGUUUGUAAUUUGAUGAGGCACCAGCAUUCUUUGAAAGAGAAAACUUAAGAUUUACAAAACUGCGGUUCCCAUGAUUCCAUAGCAUUGGGCCAAGACAGUUAAAGUGGUGUUAGAACUGUAUUAAUUCUACAGUGUGGAUGCAUCCUAGGUUCACAAGAUGGUAUCAUCCUCAUUGUUUAUUUCUCCCCAGUUUGGGAGUCAAGGUGGCAAUAGUUAAACAUAAACCAGACACUCACAAAAGUGAAAAAAAAACAAUUAAACUAAUAGAGGACAAUCUGCUUUGCGUCCUGAAAAUAUAGCUAUAUCAUGCAGUUAAUUCUGCUAUGAUUCUAAGCACCGCAACUACAAUAUACAGUAGCUACAGUUGACUUGCCUCCCAUUGUCAGACCCUUAACCUUUCUCUUUACAGCUCUCCUAAAGAUAUAUUGCUGUGCUGAUUUAUUUGGAGCAAAGACCAUGCAGGGUCAGCAGUUGUGAAAACAAUCCAAUGUAAAGAAUAAGGGUAUGACUGGUCCUGUUGACCUUACACUAAUGUAUGCCUCCCCUAACAUCAAGGUUUGCUCAAACUCUAUUUACUACAAACAAACAACAUUUUGAAUCACCUCCAAGCCACACCAAAGUUUUACAACUGUUUUGCAAUGUUUUGCAACAGCCACAAAACUGAGAUCCAGAUACUCCAAUGCAGGGUUCCAAGUAAAUGUUGACCAUGAAGCCUGACAUUUGGAAUCACCUCCAAACUUGUGCUAAAGUUUUGCAACAUGGUUGGGGAAGGUAAUGGGUAUUGCAGUCAAGAAAUUAGAAAAAGGCUAAAACUUGGAAGGGCAGUGAUGAAAGAGCUAGACAAGAUCCUGAAGUGUAAAGACAUACAAUUGAAUACUAAAGUUAGAAUUAUUAUCCAUGCCAUUUCCAUAUAAGGUUGUGAAAGCUGGACAGUGAAGAAAGCUGAUAGGAACAAAAUCAACAUGUGAAAUGAGAUGCUGGAGAAGUCUUCUACAGACGGGCUAUGAACUAGUUCUAGAGCAGUGGUUCUUAACUUGGGGUCCGCAGAUGUUUUGGCCUACAACUCCCAGAAAUCCCAGCCAGUUGUUAGGAUUUCUGGGAGUUGAAGGCCAAAAACAUCUGGGGACCCCAGGUUGAGAACCACUGUUCUAGAGCUAAUCACGCCUGAAUUAUCCUUAGAAGCUAGUAGGAGUAAUUGAGUCUGUUGUACUUUGGGCUUGACAUGAGAAGACAUGACUCACUAGAAAAGGCAAUAAUGCUUGGUAGGGCAGAAGGCAACCAGAAAAGAGUAAGACUGCAUUUGAGAUGAAUAGAUCAAGGGAAAGACAGUCCAGAAUCUGCUAGAUCUAGGUAGAGCUGUGCAUAAUAGGAUGACUUGGAGCUCUCUCAUUCAUGGGGUCACCAUAAGCCAAAGUCAACUUGAUGACAAUCAACAACAAAUCAACAAACUUUAUUUCUUAUUACAUAAAUCCUUUUUGAUGGCAUUUCACUUACAACUUAAGGCAUGUUGACUGAAGUCAGUGAAACAUCUAUCACCUAUAAGCUCUUUCAGCUAACCAGCACACUGUGGACAAGCUUUCCAUGUAAACAUCUUUCCACAUAAAGGAGGAUCCCUAGUAAGCAGGAACCAUCAAAGCAAUACUAUUCACUAACCCAAACAUUCUGGAGGAGUAUCAGACCACAAAAACAAAACGUCCAACUAGAACAAGAAACAACCUACAAUUCCUUUCCCAGAUCAUCAUGAUCUCAAUUCACUUUUUCUUGGCCAGAAUUUGGAAAAAUUACUUUCUCCAUUAUAGUUCUGAAAAUCCCUACUCAUAAUGCUGACUGGGAUAUUUUGGGAGUUUUAAGUAAAAAAAAAAGUAACCUUUUCACGCUCUAUAACUGGCUAGCUGUUACUUUUUUCUAUCUUCUGUAGCUAGACAAAAUUGUAGUAUUCUGGUUUAUGGUCUGCCUAAAAUCUCUCUUUUUAUUUUUUUUAAUUUCUUGCUGUCUGGAUGUUAGGUAUCUACACUUAUCAUAUAAUUAUAAGACUCUCAGUUUUUGUUUUGACUUCUGCUCUACAAUUAUACAUCGCAUUAAGCUUAACCCAUUCUGCGAAUCAAUGUACUUUUGCAACUUCAUAGGUCAAUACGUUCCACUCAAUAGACAUUAGUAGGGUUAAAGUGAAGUAACACAAUGGAUUGUGGCCAGAAACUGCAGUAACAUUUCAUCUUUCACAAUUAUUUUCAGGACAUCACUGGUCUCAUAACCAAUGUUAGAAAGAUUACAAAUUAAUAUCAAUUUCUUACCUUUAAGGGUAACAUUAAUGGUGGCAGGGGUGGGGGAGGCUUCUUCAGUUCUUCACAUUUUCUCUUUUUACAGAUCCGGUGGCUUGUUUUGCGCUUCAUGCAGCAGCUGCAUUCUUCACAGUUAGUUUUCCGCAGACAUGGCUCACAUACUCCACAUCGCCUUCGCUUUUUCUUUUCUACAGGUUGCAUAGAGGGAAACAGGACAGGAAAGGCACUAGUUGGAUUUCCCCAGGAGGUUAGUUCAGAAGUUGUACUGGGAUUCGUGCCGCAUUUUGUGGUGCCCUGAACAGAGAUCAUGUCUUUUUCAGCACUUCCCAGUCCUAGGGAGGGACACUGAAGGUUUGGACAGGAUCCGUCUGCCACAAGCCUAGUUUCUGGACUCCCUACAGACUCUGAUGGCAACUUCAAGUUAGCAUCUUUUGAGGAUUUUUGGGAAGUGUUGUUAAAGAUAUUGCUACUCACUGAAACGGAAUCAGUCGUCCUUUUUCCUGGCUGAAGUGAUAGAUCAGGCACAGUAGUUGAAUCUAAAUUCAAUGUUUCAGCAGCUAUCCUCUCAAGGGUCUGCUCAAGGUCUUCCAAGAUACCAUAAGUAAAAACGGGAUUAGAAACUGGUUUACAAGUGGAUGCUUUCUUAAUGUGAUCACAACCUGAAUAAUCCUUUUGGGAAGUUGACAAGUCAAGUGCUUUGUCACCUAGUUUGAAUUCUGAGUCAUUUGGCAAAGAGGAUUUCCCACCAAGGCCUGGAUCUUUUGGAGAAUCUCCCUGUUCAGAGAUACACAGCAAAUCAGGUUCUCUUCUACUGGCAGGCUCAUGAUCUUGCUCAUGGUGGGGCUCUGAUAAUGCACACGUGUCGUCUAAAUGCAAUUUUGAGAUUAAUUCUGAGGUAAUCAAAAUGAUAGCAUCGGGUUCACAAGGAGUUAGCACCGAACCACAGGUAGCAAUGGAGUGACCUUCUAUAGGAGACUCUGGCCUUUUCUCAGGCACCUUUGUGUUUGUUUCAGAAGAAAGUUGCAAUGUGGAGUCAAACGAUGGAGGGGAAUGUUCUUUGGAGGGUGGUGCGGAAUUAAAAUUAUUCUCUAGGCCUGGUUUCACGAGUGUUCCUAACUCUCUUUCACAUACCUUUAAAGCAUUGGCAGAGUCAAGGUGUAGAUGAGAAGAAACAGGCUCAGCCAAAGCUACAUAUGAGACAUCAGUAGAUAAAUCUUCCAGGGCCUGCUCAGUAGGCACAGUUUCUUUACAUUUGCCAUCCUCCUGCAGUGCCUUUGGAGUAGAGACACUCGGUUCAUCCACACUAGAAACAGAAAGACAGUUUUCAGGAGUUGGCGCUUUCUUCUUGGCUUCACCGUCACAUUCAGAGGGAUGGUCUGGUUCCAUAUCACAUAAGGCACUGCCUGCUUUGGUAGACAGCGAUUCAACAUUUUGGUUGCAAUCUUGUUUGAAACCCUGAGCUCUUUUUUCCACUCCUUUCCUUUCUAUUUUAUGGGAUGUUCCUAACUCAGACUUUUCUCUUUUCCCUGAACUUUUUACCAGGCCAGUUCGUCUCUUCGCUCUCAUGAUUGCCGCUGUUUCAAACAGUCUAUGGGGAAAUGGCUUCCUGCGAAGAUUCAUGGUAAGGCUCAACGGAGGCUGGUUAUGAAAGAGAACGCUAUCACUUAAUUUCAGAUUCUUCCAAGAUGAUCCAGCAAAGGCUUUGGUGACACUGCUGCGGAGAAAUCGGCACGGUGAAUCCAUAGGAGGUUUGUGUUCUUGUGGCUUUUUCUUGCCCUCGUUCUUUUCCGCCAGUAACCUUUUGCAGUUUGCAGAACAGUUUGCCACUGGGGAAUUUUUUUUGGCAUCUUUUGUUACUUGGCAAGAUUUACUUUGGGCUAGGCUUGGUUUCUUUUUGCUUAUCUCCUGUUUCUUUACUAAUCUUGAAGAUCUGGCAUCGCGAGCCAUCUCUGUCAAGCAGCAGAUGUGCAACUCAGAGUAGAAUCAAAGAUCAUGCAUUCCUGCAAGUGUUGUUUAUUUCAGCAGAAACCCGCAUAGUCACCUUGGUAUUCUCUGGAUUGUACAAAGCUGAAACAGAAAUAAAUAUAAAUAAAUAAAUAAAUAAAUAAGAGUUGAAAAUUA
This is a long non-coding RNA of Anolis carolinensis (green anole), 6328 nucleotides long. RefSeq lists it as uncharacterized. Lineage: Eukaryota; Metazoa; Chordata; Lepidosauria; Squamata; Anolidae. The record is from RefSeq and is a predicted model, not a curated record. The transcript is spliced from 2 exons.